This 1840-nucleotide long non-coding RNA is filed under the name Olea europaea subsp. europaea. The record is from RNAcentral. Lineage: Eukaryota; Viridiplantae; Streptophyta; Magnoliopsida; Lamiales; Oleaceae.
GCCAACUUGGUUUCGGCCAAACCUGGCCUGUUCCUCAUUGCUAUUCAAGGAACUUGAUUGACCGCUUCCAUAUUAUCAAUAAGGCGGAGGCAGAGGCUAUAAAUGCUCGUAAUCUUCUUUUGACGAGCCAUUUUUCAUUAGCCCCUUUCAAUUCUAGCCAUGCCAUCCAUCCCCUUUUUGAACAGUUCUGGCCGUCAGUGAAGCGCACAUUGUUUGCGACUGAUGCCAAUCGUGCCUUUCAUUCACUGGACCAGUCGAGCAUUUCUUCUGCUCCUCCUGUUUUAGUCACUCCUUUGUCCAUCCAGAGUCCUUCUCCUCCUCGUCGCGCUAAACAGUUUGCUCGUCCAUUUUCUUCUCUCCCUGCCAAGCCUACUGUAGCAAAAAGUGUCUCAUGCAGCAAACGGCCAGCCUCAGCAUCUCCCAUUCUGGAGGAUGAUGUUGAUGAUGAUGAUGAUACCCCCCCUCUUAAGGAAGGUAAUUAAAUUGGUUUACUCACAAGCAUACUUUUCCAUAUUUGAAACUUUUCUGUGUGCUGAUGAUUUAUUUGGACUUCUUAGAAAAGUUCAGCCUCUCCUUUAAAGGCUUUGGUAUCGGCAGCUCUUGCUCCAUCAACUUCCGCUGAGGCUACUUCAUUCAAACCAGCUGAUGAAGGGACUACGCUUAAAGAGACAUCUUCAGUCCCAGAAUUCUCAUCACAACCAAUGGAUGAGCCACCUUCUUCCCAGGGCGUCAAUCCCCCAAAUAUCGAAGCAGAAGGUAAUUCAGUUUUUUGAUGCUUUACCUUUGCUUGUGCUAUUGGUUUCUGAUUUGUUGCUUUUGAGUUUUGCAGAUGCUCCUAUGAGUCUGCCCGUUGUGGCAACAUAUUCUCGCUCAGACAAGGGGAAGUCCUCACGAAUGGUGGAGUCACAGGUGGCAGACUUGGCCGAGGAUAUGCCAUCUUCCACGAUUAUUGAUGAGGUAAUCUUUGCUUCACUUCUAUUUCCAUCUUGUUCGUUGUAGUGAGAAUCUUCAAUAUUGGCAAUUUUUUUUGCAGGAUGCUGACAAGAUUGUGCGUUCCAUCCAAGACUUGUUCGCUUCCUGAGGGCAAGUCAAGACAUCUCGCCCUGCUCCAUCUGGUCGUCCUGCUACUUCUUCAGAGGAAGAUUUGAAGUUCCUCAAGCAGUUGAUAUUUGAGUACGUGUCUUUCAUGGAUAUGGACAUUGGUAAGGCUAGUGCUGCCAAACACAAGGAUAAGUUUGAGCAUUUGAAUGCGAAGUUGGAGCAAGCACUGACACUUCUGUCGCUCAAUCUUUUUGCCGAUAUUAAAGCGACGUUGAAAGUUAUCCAUUCCGAGGUCCUCUCCUUGCAGGCCAAGAAUGCUGAAUUGAAGGCCAAAAGUAUUCAAUAUCUUCGUGCUGUAUCUGAAAAAGAGUCUUUGCGUCUGGAGAUCAACAAGGCUGAGGACGAGUUGAAAGAAAUCUCUUCCGAAGUCAUGAUUGAAGACUCUUUGAUAGUUAGUUUGGCUGCUCAGAUGAAGGAACUUCAAGCCAAAAUGGACGACUGCAAGGCGAGAAUGGCUGCUAAAAAGCGUAACGCCUCCCAGGAAAUUGAGCGAACUAAGUCUUUGGUCGAGCAGUACAAAAAGUUGGAGGUUGAUGAUGAUGUCGUGGCCAAAUUGAACAUCACUUCCUCUCGACAGAACGAGGAUUGGGAAAAGCUUAGGGAACGAAUUCGUUCAGUGUGGGGUGGACUGUAAUUAAGACAUAUGACCCCUUAACUUUUCUUUUUGUAAUUUCGCGUUUGACUUUCCCUUUGUAACCUUGUUCAUCAUUAAUGAACAUAUAUAUUAACUUGUUGUGCA